GGGUUGUGAGGUUAAGCGACUAAGCGUACACGGUGGAUGCCCUGGCAGUCAGAGGCGAUGAAGGACGUGCUAAUCUGCGAUAAGCGUCGGUAAGGUGAUAUGAACCGUUAUAACCGGCGAUUUCCGAAUGGGGAAACCCAGUGUGAUUCGUCACACUAUCAUUAACUGAAUCCAUAGGUUAAUGAGGCGAACCGGGGGAACUGAAACAUCUAAGUACCCCGAGGAAAAGAAAUCAACCGAGAUUCCCCCAGUAGCGGCGAGCGAACGGGGAGCAGCCCAGAGCCUGAAUCAGUGUGUGUGUUAGUGGAAGCGUCUGGAAAGGCGCGCGAUA
Molecule: ribosomal RNA, 331 nt
Filed under: Escherichia coli
Lineage: Bacteria; Pseudomonadati; Pseudomonadota; Gammaproteobacteria; Enterobacterales; Enterobacteriaceae
Description: bacterial LSU rRNA
Rfam family: Bacterial large subunit ribosomal RNA
Source: RNAcentral